This 64-nucleotide transfer RNA is filed under the name Glycera cf. tridactyla FS19. RNAcentral describes it as "tRNA-Glu". It matches the Rfam family "tRNA". From Rfam's summary of the family: Transfer RNA (tRNA) molecules are approximately 80 nucleotides in length. Their secondary structure includes four short double-helical elements and three loops (D, anti-codon, and T loops). The record is from RNAcentral. Lineage: Eukaryota; Metazoa; Annelida; Polychaeta; Phyllodocida; Glyceridae.
AUAUCUAUAGUAUAAGCAAUUACAUCAGCUUUUCAAGCUGAAAAUAUGAUUUUCAUUAGAUAUC